AGAUAGCUAGUCUAACACAAGACAACUAAUUUCGACUUAGUCAAUCGUGAUUAAAUUUCACGGCUACCAA
This 70-nucleotide transfer RNA is filed under the name Cuora galbinifrons (flowerback box turtle). Its description in RNAcentral is "tRNA-Arg". Lineage: Eukaryota; Metazoa; Chordata; Testudines; Geoemydidae. RNAcentral also lists the same sequence under 1 other name. The record is from RNAcentral.